GCUAGUGUAGCUUAACAUCAAAGCAUAACACUGAAAAUGUUAAGAUGGGCCCUAGAAAAGCCCCACAAGCA
This 71-nucleotide transfer RNA is filed under the name Polypterus palmas polli. Its description in RNAcentral is "tRNA-Phe". It matches the Rfam family "tRNA". From Rfam's summary of the family: Transfer RNA (tRNA) molecules are approximately 80 nucleotides in length. Their secondary structure includes four short double-helical elements and three loops (D, anti-codon, and T loops). Further hydrogen bonds mediate the characteristic L-shaped molecular structure. tRNAs have two regions of fundamental functional importance: the anti-codon, which is responsible for specific mRNA codon recognition, and the 3' end, to which the tRNAs corresponding amino acid is attached (by aminoacyl-tRNA synthetases). tRNAs cope with the degeneracy of the genetic code in two manners: having more than one tRNA (with a specific anti-codon) for a particular amino acid; and 'wobble' base-pairing, i.e. permitting non-standard base-pairing at the 3rd anti-codon position. The record is from RNAcentral. Lineage: Eukaryota; Metazoa; Chordata; Cladistia; Polypteriformes; Polypteridae.